This 444-nucleotide ribosomal RNA is filed under the name uncultured bacterium. RNAcentral describes it as "partial 16S ribosomal RNA". It matches the Rfam family "Bacterial small subunit ribosomal RNA", at positions 354 to 796 of the family's 1533-position model. The record is from RNAcentral.
GUGAGGAAUAUUGGACAAUGGGCGCAAGCCUGAUCCAGCCAUGCCGCGUGCAGGAAGACGCAUCUAUGGUGUGUAAACUGCUUUUGUACGGGAAGAAACACUCCCUCGUGAGGGAGCUUGACGGUACCGUAAGAAUAAGGAUCGGCUAACUUCGUGCCAGCAGCCGCGGUAAUACGGAGGAUCCAAGCGUUAUCCGGAAUCAUUGGGUUUAAAGGGUCCGUAGGCGGUUUAAUAAGUCAGUGGUGAAAGCCCAUCGCUCAACGAUGGAACGGCCAUUGAUACUGUUAGACUUGAAUUACAAGGAAGUAACUAGAAUAUGUAGUGUAGCGGUGAAAUGCUUAGAUAUUACAUGGAAUACCAAUUGCGAAGGCAGGUUACUACUUGUGGAUUGACGCUGAUGGACGAAAGCGUGGGGAGCGAACAGGAUUAGAAACCCGAGAGUCC